Molecule: long non-coding RNA, 1559 nt
Organism: Struthio camelus australis
Lineage: Eukaryota; Metazoa; Chordata; Aves; Struthioniformes; Struthionidae
Source: Ensembl
CUUAUCACAAAAAGCAGCUUUCCUUUGGUUACCCUUCCCUGCAUUUCCACCUGCCUUUUCUUUCUGUGAUUAGUAUAAUAAAUACAAGGUCACAGUGUGGAGGUAAGAAAGUGAUCUAAAGAAACUUCUCCCCUCUCCUACUGAUUGCCUGUGUUUGCCCUGGACCGAAGUGUCAGAGUCAAUGAAAGUUCCAGUGCUCAGCGGGGCUGUUCCUUAUCUUUUGUCCUUCUGCGGACACAUCUGGCUCCAAAGCACAGGCCAGCAUCUGCCUGCACUGACCUGGGGCAGCAAGCACCAAAUACGCAUUGUGUUGUCCCAGGGUGUGGGUGGGAAGGAGCCCCCAGGCUGGGGCUCCUGUCCCUGAGGACAGAGUUCCUUCCUCAGGAGACGUGUUGGAACAACGUAGCUCUCCAACUGCAGGCAAAGCCUCUCUCAUUCUUCCUUUUCAGUUGUCUGUGCUGUGUCGCGGUGUCCCUCUCCUGGUAUGACCCUCCGGAACUUCUCAGUGAGAUUUGGAGGUCAAAAGAGCAAGAUACCUCUGGUGCUUUUACCUGAGCACAGCUCCACUGACAUGAGCUGCUUAGGUCCAGCUGAGGAUCAGCCACACCAGGCAGCUGGAUGGCCACAGACAUGGAAACUUAGAAGUGGGACUUUGGAGGAAACAGAAGGUGGUGAUGGCUCCUGCGUACUGCUUUCUUGCCAGGCUCCUUACUUCUACUGCGCAGGACCAACACAGGAAAGGGUUGAAGACCCUGAGCCUGAAGAGCGUGCCUGAGAGAAAAUGAUGUUUUGGUGCAUGAAACAGGGAGAAUAUCUCAAGAGAGAAUAUCUGAAUGGAGAUCCUUUGCACUUCUUUUUCCUGGAUGAACUGCGAAGCUGAGGCUGAGCCUGGCUCUGUCCGUUUGUGUCUCUCUCUACUUCUCUGUCCCGAAACCCCCCUCCCUCUCCCCUUCCACAGCUCCGGAGGGUGGAGGUGCAAUUCGCUAUGCCAGUUUUUUAUUUCCAGCACGCUUGACAAGCUGGGCGAGGAAGGCGUUAAUGUUUUCUGACAGGCCCCCUCUAAUUGUUGGAGCUUUUCUUCUCUGCCUUUUCUGUGAAAUUCUGACUUAGGCGAGCAGCAUAACAAAAUGCUCUGGCAUUGAAAUGUGCGCUUGCACUACACUGGGCUCGGGGAAACAGCAUUAUUCAUGAAGAUUUUCAGCUGUUUUUGUCUUUUAACUAACCUUUGAGUUUGAUCAGAGGCUAGCCGGGCUCCCUUUCUCAAAAGGCGGUCUUGGCAACCCGACAAUGGAGCCAAACUGUUUUCCCUGUUAAAGAGAUAACUAUGCCGUUGAGUUGGUACAUGGGGGAAAUUAAUCUUCUGGCGCAUACAAAUGAUAGGUUUACCUCGGUCUGCAAUCGUCUGCAUGGGAUUAUUAAUAGGACAGGGGUAAGGAGCAGGAAAAAUUCAGUUUGGGGCAGGGAAUUUAAAAAAAAAAAAAAAGCAAACCCCAACCCCAUCAUCCCCUUUGAUGGCAUAAAGCCUGCGAUUGAUUCCUCACCACUUGCCUUUUGCAGCG